GCCUAAGGGCAACACCCUUGGUUGAGCGUUGGCUUUGAGAGCCACAGGUCGGUGGUUCGAGCCCACCAGGGCA
Molecule: non-coding RNA, 73 nt
Organism: Phytophthora infestans T30-4
Lineage: Eukaryota; Oomycota; Peronosporomycetes; Peronosporales; Peronosporaceae
Source: the annotation of a RefSeq genome assembly